Molecule: ribosomal RNA, 604 nt
Filed under: Vibrio sp. MR07-24
Lineage: Bacteria; Pseudomonadati; Pseudomonadota; Gammaproteobacteria; Vibrionales; Vibrionaceae
Description: partial 16S ribosomal RNA
Rfam family: Bacterial small subunit ribosomal RNA
Source: RNAcentral
GGCGGACGGGUGAGUAAUGCCUGGGAAAUUGCCCUGAUGUGGGGGAUAACCAUUGGAAACGAUGGCUAAUACCGCAUAANGUCUACGGACCAAAGAGGGGGACCUUCGGGCCUCUCGCUUCAGGAUAUGCCCAGGUGGGAUUAGCUAGUUGGUGAGGUAAUGGCUCACCAAGGCGACGAUCCCUAGCUGGUCUGAGAGGAUGAUCAGCCACACUGGAACUGAGACACGGUCCAGACUCCUACGGGAGGCAGCANUGGGGAAUAUUGCACAAUGGGCGCAAGCCUGAUGCAGCCAUGCCGCGUGUAUGAAGAAGGCCUUCGGGUUGUAAAGUACUUUCAGUCGUGAGGAAGGNGUUGNANUUAAUAGCUUCNUCGNUNGACGNUAGCGACAGAAGAAGCACCGGCUAACUCCGUGCCAGCAGCCGCGGUAAUACGGAGGGUGCGAGCGNUAAUCGGAAUUACUGGGCGUAAAGCGCAUGCAGGUGGNUUGNUAAGUCANANGUGAAAGCCCGGGGCUCAACCUCGNAACCGCAUUUGAACUGGCAGGCUAGAGUACUGNANANGGGGGUANAAUUUCAGUGNAGNGGNGAAAUGCGNAGAGAUCU